CACACCAGCAGUUGCACAACGCUGCUCGCCUCACGCCCCCGACACCCCUUCCUCUCCCUCGCGUCUCUUCUCGGACCCAUCCGCCAUCGCCGUCGCCCUUCUCCACCAUUGUCGUUGCUGUUGCCGCCACCGCCCUCCUCCUCCUCCUCCGCCACUUCCGUUCUUCUACCCUAGAUUUCUGCGCAUGAGUACCUCCCUGCCAGUCAUGGAUCUGGCAGUGCAGGCUGUGGGGGGAGUGAGUUGUGUCCCCAUCGUGGGUGCCAUGGCUUGCUUGGGGAGCCUUCGUGGAUCUGGGCGACAUCAAGGUGUCCCCCGCUCUUUGCCCCAACUCCUCGGAUCGGCUUCCUGUACAGGCGGAGAGAUCCAGCAUGGUGUCAGACGCUUGUGGUGAUGACGUGCCUUCUUCGUCUUCGGUAAGCUCGACAGGCUUGCCAAGCCAUGCAUCCUCUCUCACGGUGAGUGCUCCCCUUUGUCCAUAUUUGUACUAAUUUAGAGUUAAAGGAUACCAAAGAGAGGUUUGCCAAGAUCAAAACAGGGGCAAAAGGAAAAAAUUCUCUGCUAAUAUUUAACUGUUCUACAUCCAUGAUUGUAGUUGCAACUGUAAUUUCUUUUUUGUCUAUAUCUGGCGAAAUGGCGAUAUUAGAGAUCUCAAUUAGGGCCUUGUUUUUCUACCAAUGUCCCAGGUUCUCCACCUUUUUUUUCUUUCUGCAAUUUUUCUUAUGUAUAACUGCUAAAUAAAUGUAUCAUGUGUGGUGAGGAUAUGAAUCAGUGCAUUUCAAAUUCCCUGGAACCUUUUCUCUAUGAAACCAGUCACUAAAUAAAUAUGCCUUUUUCUGUGAUGGUUUGGUAUGGUCUAUCCUCAUUGUGUUUCCAUUGGAAAUGUCUGAUGCUAUACUUAGAUAGAUUAGAUGUAAUGCUUGGUGUCAUGUGUGAGAGGAUACUGAAGGAAGAGCGCAUUUGACUUUGUUGCUCUAUACCUAUAUCUAUUUCAAGAUACUGCUUUCUCCUUUUAAAUUAUUGCUAAACUAACAUUGUACAGUGUAAGAGGGGAGCACUCACUGUAGUGACAUAUGUCCCAAUAUUUCCUACUUGCUUAUCUAUUACAUUUUCUAUAUAUAUGUUGUGUAUUUCAAGCAUGCAUGAAACAUAUACUGUACAACAAGGCAUAAGUCUAGACUUCUUAUCUAACUUAACUCUGGUUAACCAUAGAGGUAAAGACUAUUUCUUCUGCUUGCAGUUCCCUAAAACAUAUCGGUGGUGGCGGUGGCAAGGACAACCGCCAAGAGAAUGGUCUUCUACUAGAUGGAAGUGCCAUUGCCAAGUUCUCGCCCCUUAUACAGUGGCACAGGAACUUGAGAUCACCUUGACCUCGUGUUUUCAGAGCUGAGAAAUUUGAGGUAGACUACAAUUUUACAUAUAGUGCUGUGAAAGACUGGGCUGCUGGAAGAGAAAGAAAUGGUCCAGUUAGAUGAUGUUGUGCCAGAUCCAAAAUUACUACGAGAUGUUGGGCUACUAGGACUCCGGCAAGGACAUUGGCACCUUCACAGCGGCAUGGCAGUAGUCUGCAAAAUUCUAAACUUAGAUUUCUCUAUAGCCCUAGCACAGUGUAGUCUUUUUUCGCAACCCUAUUGACCUAUUUGGAUGGAAUUGAGAUUGUGAAUCUUGUAUUAAAUGAGUGGAUCUUUGAAAAAGUGUGGAUUUGUUUGCUAUUUUGUUGUAUAUAAAAUCAGUGAUCUAAGUUUUAUCUUUUUUA
Sorghum bicolor (sorghum) is the source of this 1753-nucleotide long non-coding RNA. RefSeq lists it as uncharacterized. The transcript has 4 exons. The record is from RefSeq and is a predicted model, not a curated record. Lineage: Eukaryota; Viridiplantae; Streptophyta; Magnoliopsida; Poales; Poaceae.